UCUUUCAAUGUUUUACUUUUUUCUCAUCUCUCUUUUUGGCCAUUUUCAAACUUCACCGACACUGUGGCCUCCUUUCAUUCUUCUCCACUUUCUCUGUUUUUUUUAGUCAUUCCUCUUUAUUCCCUCCUCAAGUCUCCCCCUGCAGCUCCAUUACCUUCAGUCUCUCUCUGCUUUAGACAUAUCUUUAGUCACUUUACUUUUUUAAACCUUUUUCGUGCGUUUCUUUCUGUGUUACUCUUAUAUUUUGUUAAAUUUAUCCUUCCACAUACAUUUUUCUUCCAUCUUCAUUUUCCUCUCCUCUCACUCUCUUCCUGACUUCUCUUUUAGCAUUUAGCUCUUUAACCCCCUCCUUUGUCUUUCUCCAUCAUCUCCUCUUCCUCUCUUGUUCUCUCUCUGUUUUUAUUAUUUUCCCCUGCGUCACAGAAGAGAUUUCAUUGACCAUUAUGAAUAACCCAAAAGUUUGUGAUUCGUGGCUUUGGUGGGACCGUCUGGUGGGUGUGUUUUUGCAUUUCAGUAUGAAUAGUGGGAGUUGUGUCUUGAUGUGUGUAAUUAGGGUAAAUUAAUCUGUGUGUUUUGUUCAUGAGAGAAGAAAAAAGAAAGGAGAAGAAUGUGAUGGAAGGAGAAGAAAAUAACGAGAUGAGGUCUUGGCUCGCUGCUAUUCUUGUUGAUUCAGGCCGUGGAAAAACUCAUCUGACAGCCAGUAGUGUCCAUUUAUGUGUUUUGCGUGUGUGUGUGUGUGUGUGUAUAUGCUUCUGCCUUACAGUGGGAAUGGAUAACGGGUUUGACAGCCCAUUGUCUCCCUCAGGGUAGAGACUGUGGUUCAAUGAGUCAGUCUCAUAUGCACUCACGUUACAUCGAGAUGCUCUGAUUUAUGCACACACACACACACUCAAAUGUACAGUAAUCACUCAUGCACACACACCACACACAUUGUUAAGCAUACAUGUGCCUUUACACACAAAAUUCAUUCCUGCACACAUGGGCGGACAUGUGGAUGCAUGCAUGCUGUAAAUCCAAAACAACCCAACACCCCCUGCAGCACACACGCACACACUUCACACUCUUUGUUAGUGUGACUGUGUUUUACAGCUGAUUUGCAGGCUAAACCCCAGCCAGCCCAUUCACUUCCAUGUCAUGGUACAGCUGUACCAUUCCUAGUGUUCCUGUCUGUCCCUUGUUAGUCUCCUUGUGUGUGUGUGUGUGUGUAUGCUGUGGGGCGCGGCCUCCGAGGUACUGCCAAUCAGCAACUGACACACCUGCGAACCAUCUACUGCUGCUCACCUGUUCUCCAUCCACAAUCACACAUGACAGUAUAUCUACCUGGCUCUUCUCACCAGUCUUCGCCAGAUCGUCCGUUUACCUCAGUGGUAUAACUCUUCGGCUCUUGUCUACCCCUCUAAGAAAUUACCUGCAUGAUAUCAGAACGCCUGAUUAACUUGUUUAACUCCCUGUGCCCCGGGCACCAGUGCUCACCCCUCCUCUCCGCAUUCCAGGAGAAGGGACUGGUAUGCGCUGGCUGACCAUCCCAUUCCGCCCUUCACAUCGCUACUAGGGGAACCUAUGCAGCUUGGCCAAGCUCGUCUCUCUCUGGCAGAACACACCGAAUCACAGAGAUCGCUGUCCUCUCAGUGCAACACCAACUGUGCCGCUGCCGCAAGAUCUGGAGGGAUACCCGUGCUGCCCUACUCCGGUCCUCUGCCAACAACCAGCGCAUUCCGGACCGCCACCGGACACCAGCUCCUGAAUACUCUCUAGGUCAGAAGGUUUGGUUAUCCUCCAGAAAUAUUCCACUCAAAACUGACUCCAGAAAACCGGCCCCCCGGUUCAUUGGUCCUUAUGAGGUGGAGGAGAUCAUCAAUCCCUCAGCUAUUAAAUUAAAGCUCCCUCGUAACAUGAAGAUCCACCCCACAUUCCAUGUUUCUCAAGUCAAACCUGUAUCUUCCAGUCCUUUGGGCCCGCCUCACGGCUCCUCUCCACCCGCCCGGAUCAUCAAUGACAAUCCUGCCUACACGGUCCGAUGGCUACUGGACGUGCGCCGUUGAGGCAGGGGUCUCCAGUAUCUUGUGGACUGAGAGGGAGUACCCCGUUGAGGGGGGGUACUGUCAUGGUACGGCUGUACCAUUCCUAGUGUUCCUGUCUCUGUCCCCUGUUUAGUCUCCUUGUGUGUGUGUGUGUAUGCUGUGGGGCGCGGACUCCGAGGUACUGCCAAUCAGCAACUGACACACCUGCAAACCAUCUACUGCUGCUCACCUGUUCUCCAUCCACAAUCACACCUGACAGUAUAUCUAUCCGGCUCUUCUCACCAGUCUUCGCCAGAUCGUCCGUUUACUUCAGUGGUUCGUGUCACCUGCCUCUGCGUUGCCUACCGGCUUUCCAGGAGGACACUACAGCUCUCACCUGCCUUGCCUCGGACCGCAUUCCUGCCUCAGCCUGCCUGCUCUUCUCAGCCUUGUGGCGGUCUGCUGUCUGCCUCCAGUCUUCCAGCUUCCAGCCUUACCUCCACGCUCCUUGUUCCUCAUUAUCUGUUCUUCUAAAUAAACAGAACCUGCUACUGCA
Siniperca chuatsi (mandarin fish) is the source of this 2556-nucleotide long non-coding RNA. RefSeq lists it as uncharacterized. The record is from RefSeq and is a predicted model, not a curated record. The transcript has 3 exons. NCBI's taxonomy places the organism in Eukaryota, Metazoa, Chordata, Actinopteri, Centrarchiformes, Sinipercidae.